Non-coding RNA from Theobroma cacao (cacao), 1915 nucleotides. NCBI's taxonomy places the organism in Eukaryota, Viridiplantae, Streptophyta, Magnoliopsida, Malvales, Malvaceae. The record is from RefSeq and is a predicted model, not a curated record.
CAUUUACUCUUUCUCUAAAGAAAUUUAAUAAAUGUUUUUUUCAUUAGAUAAACUAUUAAUUAUAGCUCACAUAUAAUGUGCCCUUUCGAAAAAUUUUGAUGCUAAUAUUGUCAUUUCCCCAGGUUGUAGUAUGAAACUUGACCAAAGUUCAAACUCUAGUUUGUUGGAUAGUGAAGCUUCAACAUUGAAGGUGCAUAUUGAACAUUUUGAUCAUCAACAUCCCUUGAGCUAUAAUGAGGCUAUUGAGCAGAAUGAAAGUCUUCUUUGCAAUGGUUGCUGUCAGGAAAUUUUUGAUCAACACUAUGCUUGUGAAGAUUGUAAAUACUACUUACAUGGAACGUGCACUACAUUGUCGUAUGAGGUGUCACACCCUCUUCAUUGCCAGCAUCCUCUCAAGCUCUUCACGGAUAAAGUUGAAUUUAUAUGUCAUGGAUGUAGGGACCAUUCUAAUGGGUUUGCUUACAUGUGCCUUCCAUGUGAUUUCCAACUUGAUGUGAAAUGUGCUACCACUCCAAUCCCACCUAAAAAUGAAGGGCAAAAGCAGACAGAGAUGGAGGAAGUUUCCAAGCUGUGCCCUUUCAAUCAAAAUCAUAAGCUAGACUUCUUCAACCGUAGACCCAAUCUCAAAGAUUUGGCUUUGGAAUGCGAUGCUUGCAAGCUACCAAUCUUGGGUCCAGGUUAUACUUGUGGUGAUUGUUUCGGUAUCAAAUUUCAUGAAUCUUGUCUUGCACUUAUGCGGGAGAUGCAACUCACCAUUCAUCCAUUACACACCCUUCAUCCACAAAUCGGCGAUUGGAUAAAUCGUUCUACCUGCGGAUUUAAAAUCAUUGAAAGUAUCAAUUAUAGUUAUUGGCAGUGUGAUUUCCAGCUUCAUCUUCAUUGUGCUAAUUCCCUGAAGCUGGCCUUAAAAAUUAAGUCUCACAUGCAUAAUCUUUAUUAGUUUGAACCAUAUUAUGAGAAAUCCUACCACUUUUGUAACAAAUGCAAAAGUUACAUUGGUGAGGAACCUUUCUAUUAUUGCGUGGAGUGCAAUAUGAAUUUGCACUUAAAAUGUGUUCCCAUACCAUGUUCAGUUAAAUCCAAAUGUCACAUGCAUUGUUUGGCUCUUAAAAAUCAUUUUGUGGAAGACGAUUUUGGAGAAUACUAUUGCGACAUUUGUGAAGAAGAAAGGAACUCAAAAAUUCAUUGCUAUUAUUGUGAAGAGUGUGCUGGACAAUUUGUUGCUCACAUCGAGUGCGUGCUUCUUACAAAUUUUGAAUUUGCAGAUGGAAAUUUCCAUGAAUUUUCCAACUUGAAAGAUGUUGACUCACCUGUUGAGAGUUCCUCUAUGGAUAAGUUGCUUUCCCAACCCCACGCCGAAGUGUACUUGAACCAAAACAGAAUGGUAGUUAAGUCCCAUAAGUACUGGGUGGAUAAGAAGUUAAGCAAAUACUAUUUCAUGUUGUUUGCAAGAGAUCUUACAAUCACUUGGUCAGAAGACCACCGUUACUGACAUUGGUUAUACCAAAGAGAAACAAACAGCGAUGUGUUGAUUAAUGUUGCCAAACUUCUAAAAGUGUGUUGGCUAGAAAUGCAUGUGAAAUUCAAUGUAAAAAAGCUCUCACUGGAAACUUUGUAUGGAGUUGUAUUCGUGUUGAAGUUGACAGAUGAAGCAUAUGGAUGGGAAUAUCCAGUGAAGUUCGGAGUCACUCUUCCAAAUGGGUACAAAGUUGAAUGUGAGGAUUAUUUGAUGACCAAGCCGAGAGGAGUAUGGAUAAAAAUCUUUGUUGGAGAAUUUACAACUUCAUCAAAAAAUAUUGGAGAACUAAAUAUUUACUGUCGCGGAUAUUAUGGUGGGAGAUGGAAGGGAGGCUUAUUGUUAAAGGAGUUGCUAUUUUGCCAAAGAAUUAAGUAAUAAAUUAGUAUUUUCUCACAA